UACGUAGGGGGCGAGCGUUGUCCGGAAUUAUUGGGCGUAAAGAGCGUGUAGGCGGUUCGGUAAGUCUGCCGUGAAAACCUGGGGCUCAACCCCGGGCGUGCGGUGGAUACUGCCGGGCUAGAGGGUGGUAGAGGCGAGUGGAAUUCCCGGUGUAGCGGUGAAAUGCGCAGAUAUCGGGAAGAACACCUAUGGCGAAGGCAGCUCUCUGGGACGGUACUGACGCUGAGACGCGAAAGCGUGGGGAGCGAACAGG
This 253-nucleotide ribosomal RNA is filed under the name uncultured bacterium. Its description in RNAcentral is "partial 16S ribosomal RNA". It matches the Rfam family "Bacterial small subunit ribosomal RNA", at positions 524 to 776 of the family's 1533-position model. The record is from RNAcentral.